GCUGGGCAUGGUGGCGUGUGCCUGUAAUCCCAGCUACUCAGGAGGCUGAGGCAGGAGAAUCGCUUGAACCCAGGAGGAGGGGGUUGCAGUGAGCUAAGAUCACACCACUGCACUCCAGCCUGGGCAACAGAGCAAGAUUCUGUCUCAA
RNAcentral lists this non-coding RNA (148 nucleotides) under Gorilla gorilla gorilla (western lowland gorilla). Lineage: Eukaryota; Metazoa; Chordata; Mammalia; Primates; Hominidae. The record is from Rfam by way of RNAcentral.